This 504-nucleotide ribosomal RNA is filed under the name uncultured bacterium. Its description in RNAcentral is "partial 16S ribosomal RNA". It matches the Rfam family "Bacterial small subunit ribosomal RNA", at positions 28 to 523 of the family's 1533-position model. The record is from RNAcentral.
GAUGAACGCUAGCGGCAGGCCUAAUACAUGCAAGUCGAACGGGAUCUGAGGGUAGCUUGCUACCCGAUUUGAGAGUGGCGCACGGGUGCGUAGCGCGUGAGCAACCUACCCAUAUUAGGGGGAUAGCCCGGAGAAAUUCGGAUUAAUACCGCAUAAGAAUGUAUUAACACAUGUUAAAGCAUUUAAAUAUUUAUAGGAUAUGGAUGGGCUCGCGUGAUAUUAGCUAGUUGGUGGGGUAACGGCUCACCAAGGCGACGAUGUCUAGGGGCUCUGAGAGGCGAAUCCCCACCACUGGUACUGAGACACUGACCAGACUCCUACGGGAGGCAGCAUUAAGGAUUAUUGGUCAAUGGGCGAAAGCCUGAACCAGCCAUGCCGCGUGCAGGAUGACUGCCCUAUGGGUUGUAAACUGCUUUUGUCGAGGAAUAAACCUAUCUACGUGUAGCUAGUUGAACGUACUCGAAGAAUAAGGAUCGGCUAACUCCGUGCCAGCAGCCGCAGUAA